CAGAGGACGAGGGAUGUCAAAAUG
RNAcentral lists this microRNA (24 nucleotides) under Melibe leonina. RNAcentral's name for it is "mle-miR-12100-5p". The record is from miRBase by way of RNAcentral. Lineage: Eukaryota; Metazoa; Mollusca; Gastropoda; Nudibranchia; Dendronotidae.